AUCAAAUGUAUAAAUCUCUUGGUUCUAGAGCUUGCUGUCUAUUUUGUGGAACACCUUGUUAAAGGAAACAUCCCUUAUGGCGAUGACACUCUUGGCCUUGUUUAGUUUCAACAGCUCAGAUGGAAAGCAGAGUUGGAAUAAAUCUCAUCUGAUUUAUAGACUAUCUCUUCGGCCUUUCCAAUCUCUCUGGUAGUUGGUGCUAAGUGGAAAGAUUUGUGUUUGGGGCAUCGUCUUGAAGAAACAACAUCUGGUUUCAGGUGGCUUUGUGCAUACUACGGGGAUUAAUAGUGCAUAUAAGUUUGCUCAAAGAUUUGCAAAGGAAAGAGACGAAGUUCAUGCUACUAGGAAGGAACAAGAUGUGUAGAUGAUAAAUCUAACACUAAAUUGUUACUCCCUCCGUUCCUUCAUAGUUGAGUCAUUUUUCCAUUUCGGGAAGUUCCCUCAUAGUUGAGUCAUUUCCAUUUAUAGUAACUUUUUCUUCUUUCUUACUUUACUCUCUCUUACUUUAUU
Molecule: non-coding RNA, 510 nt
Organism: Salvia hispanica
Lineage: Eukaryota; Viridiplantae; Streptophyta; Magnoliopsida; Lamiales; Lamiaceae
Source: RefSeq, a predicted model, not a curated record